UCGAUUCCCUUAGUAGCGGCGAGCGAAACGGGAAGAGCCCAAACCAACAAGCUUGCUUGUUGGGGUUGUAGGACACUCUAUACGGAGUUACAAAGGACGACAUUAGACGAAUCAUCUGGAAAGAUGAAUCAAAGAAGGUAAUAAUCCUGUAGUCGAAAAUGUUGUCUCUCUUGAGUGGAUCCUGAGUACGACGGAGCACGUGAAAUUCCGUCGGAAUCUGGGAGGACCAUCUCCUAAGGCUAAAUACUCUCUAGUGACCGAUAGUGAACCAGUACCGUGAGGGAAAGGUGAAAAGCACCCCGGAAGGGGAGUGAAAUAGAACCUGAAACCGUGUGCUUACAAGUAGUCAGAGCCCGUUAAUGGGUGAUGGCGUGCCUUUUGUAGAAUGAACCGGCGAGUUACGAUUUGAUGCAAGGUUAAGCAGUAAAUGUGGAGCCGUAGCGAAAGCGAGUCUGAAUAGGGCGUUUAGUAUUUGGUCGUAGACCCGAAACCAGGUGAUCUACCCUUGGUCAGGUUGAAGUUCAGGUAACACUGAAUGGAGGACCGAACCGACUUACGUUGAAAAGUGAGCGGAUGAACUGAGGGUAGCGGAGAAAUUCCAAUCGAACCUGGAGAUAGCUGGUUCUCUC
Molecule: ribosomal RNA, 629 nt
Filed under: Staphylococcus aureus
Lineage: Bacteria; Bacillati; Bacillota; Bacilli; Caryophanales; Staphylococcaceae
Description: partial 23S ribosomal RNA
Rfam family: Bacterial large subunit ribosomal RNA
Source: RNAcentral